This 241-nucleotide unclassified non-coding RNA is filed under the name Hevea brasiliensis (rubber tree). The record is from RNAcentral. Lineage: Eukaryota; Viridiplantae; Streptophyta; Magnoliopsida; Malpighiales; Euphorbiaceae.
GAGCACCCUCUGUCAAAUAGGAGUGUAGAUUAAAGGAACUUGAGCUCAAAUGCUCAAGCCAAUUGAAUUCAGUUAUGAGACACAACUGCUUACGGACAUCAUCAGACACAACUUGAGCUCAAACAUUUCCAUGAUAAGCAAGCAAUUACAAUGGAAUGACAUCAAAUAUACAUCUCAAACUCAAAGCGAAAGAAAUCAACAGUACCUGAUCCCAAUCGCUGUUCCCUUCCCAGCUGUUGGU